GAUGAAGAACGUAGCGAAAUGCGAUACGUAAUGUGAAUUGCAGAAUUCAGUGAAUCAUCGAGUCUUUGAACGCACAUUGCGCCCCCUGGUAUUCCGGGGGGCAUGCCUGUCCGAGCGUCAUUGCUGCCCUCAAGCACGGCUUGUGUGUUGGGCCUCCGUCCUCCUCCCGGGGGACGGGCCCGAAAGGCAGCGGCGGCACCGCGUCCGGUCCUCGAGCGUAUGGGGCUUCGUCACCCGCUCUUGUAGGCCCGGCCGGCGCUUGCCGACACAUCAAUCUUUUUUCCAGGUUGACCUCGGAUCAGGUAGGGAUACCCGCUGAACUUAAGGAUAUCAAUAAGCGGAGGA
This 345-nucleotide unclassified non-coding RNA is filed under the name soil metagenome. RNAcentral's name for it is "partial contains 5.8S ribosomal RNA, internal transcribed spacer 2, and large subunit ribosomal RNA". The stretch from base 1 to 120 matches the Rfam family "5.8S ribosomal RNA", at positions 35 to 154 of the family's 154-position model. The record is from RNAcentral.